AACAGGGAUUGCCUUAGUAACGGCGAGUGAAGCGGCAAAAGCUCAAAUUUGAAAUCUGGCACCUUCGGUGUCCGAGUUGUAAUUUGAAGAAGGUAACUUUGGGAUUGGCUCUUGUCUAAGUUCCUUGGAACAGGACGUCACAGAGGGUGAGAAUCCCGUGCGAUGAGAUGACCAAUCCUAUGUAAAGUGCUUUCGAAGAGUCGAGUUGUUUGGGAAUGCAGCUCUAAGUGGGUGGUAAAUUCCAUCUAAAGCUAAAUAUUGGCGAGAGACCGAUAGCGAACAAGUACAGUGAUGGAAAGAUGAAAAGAACUUUGAAAAGAGAGUGAAAAAGUACGUGAAAUUGUUGAAAGGGAAGGGCUUGAGAUCAGACUUGGUAUUUUGCAUUCCUUACCUUCGUGGUGGGGUUCCUUGCAGUUUACUGGGCCAGCAUCGGUUUGGAUGGUGGGAUAAUGACAUUGGAAUGUGGCUCUGCUUCGGUAGAGUGUUAUAGCCAGUGUUGAUACCGCCUGUCUAGACCGAGGACUGCGUCUUUGACUAGGAUGCUGGCAUAAUGAUC
Molecule: ribosomal RNA, 556 nt
Filed under: Schwanniomyces occidentalis
Lineage: Eukaryota; Fungi; Ascomycota; Pichiomycetes; Serinales; Debaryomycetaceae
Description: eukaryotic LSU rRNA
Rfam family: Eukaryotic large subunit ribosomal RNA
Source: RNAcentral